Molecule: ribosomal RNA, 1317 nt
Filed under: Janthinobacterium lividum
Lineage: Bacteria; Pseudomonadati; Pseudomonadota; Betaproteobacteria; Burkholderiales; Oxalobacteraceae
Description: bacterial SSU rRNA
Rfam family: Bacterial small subunit ribosomal RNA
Source: RNAcentral
UGGCGGCAUGCCUUACACAUGCAAGUCGAACGGCAGCACGGAGCUUGCUCUGGUGGCGAGUGGCGAACGGGUGAGUAAUAUAUCGGAACGUACCCUAGAGUGGGGGAUAACGUAGCGAAAGUUACGCUAAUACCGCAUACGAUCUAAGGAUGAAAGUGGGGGAUCGCAAGACCUCAUGCUCGUGGAGCGGCCGAUAUCUGAUUAGCUAGUUGGUAGGGUAAAAGCCUACCAAGGCAUCGAUCAGUAGCUGGUCUGAGAGGACGACCAGCCACACUGGAACUGAGACACGGUCCAGACUCCUACGGGAGGCAGCAGUGGGGAAUUUUGGACAAUGGGCGAAAGCCUGAUCCAGCAAUGCCGCGUGAGUGAAGAAGGCCUUCGGGUUGUAAAGCUCUUUUGUCAGGGAAGAAACGGUGAGAGCUAAUAUCUCUUGCUAAUGACGGUACCUGAAGAAUAAGCACCGGCUAACUACGUGCCAGCAGCCGCGGUAAUACGUAGGGUGCAAGCGUUAAUCGGAAUUACUGGGCGUAAAGCGUGCGCAGGCGGUUUUGUAAGUCUGAUGUGAAAUCCCCGGGCUCAACCUGGGAAUUGCAUUGGAGACUGCAAGGCUAGAAUCUGGCAGAGGGGGGUAGAAUUCCACGUGUAGCAGUGAAAUGCGUAGAUAUGUGGAGGAACACCGAUGGCGAAGGCAGCCCCCUGGGUCAAGAUUGACGCUCAUGCACGAAAGCGUGGGGAGCAAACAGGAUUAGAUACCCUGGUAGUCCACGCCCUAAACGAUGUCUACUAGUUGUCGGGUCUUAAUUGACUUGGUAACGCAGCUAACGCGUGAAGUAGACCGCCUGGGGAGUACGGUCGCAAGAUUAAAACUCAAAGGAAUUGACGGGGACCCGCACAAGCGGUGGAUGAUGUGGAUUAAUUCGAUGCAACGCGAAAAACCUUACCUACCCUUGACAUGGCUGGAAUCCCCGAGAGAUUGGGGAGUGCUCGAAAGAGAACCAGUACACAGGUGCUGCAUGGCUGUCGUCAGCUCGUGUCGUGAGAUGUUGGGUUAAGUCCCGCAACGAGCGCAACCCUUGUCAUUAGUUGCUACGAAAGGGCACUCUAAUGAGACUGCCGGUGACAAACCGGAGGAAGGUGGGGAUGACGUCAAGUCCUCAUGGCCCUUAUGGGUAGGGCUUCACACGUCAUACAAUGGUACAUACAGAGCGCCGCCAACCCGCGAGGGGGAGCUAAUCGCAGAAAGUGUAUCGUAGUCCGGAUUGUAGUCUGCAACUCGACUGCAUGAAGUUGGAAUCGCUAGUAAUCGCGGAUCAGCAU